UUGGCGCCCCGGCCUUCAGGCGGGUAUUUUUGGGCGUGGCUUUGCCCACGGCCUAUGUUUGGCACACGGAGGACCCUCGCAAAGUCUCGCGGCAUUCCGAGUCCGGCGGACGAAGUCGGCCCCCCCACCCCCCAAGGCUAUAGCCCACCCGUUUUUGUGGCCUUUUUCCGCUGAACGAACUUGGCGCCCCAGCCUUCGGGCGGUUAUUUUUGGGCGCGGCUUUUCCCGGGGCCUAUUUUGGCACACGGAGGCCCCU
RNAcentral lists this long non-coding RNA (256 nucleotides) under Citrus x clementina. RNAcentral describes it as "Citrus clementina (C. clementina) long non-coding RNA (CCLE_LNC006363)". Lineage: Eukaryota; Viridiplantae; Streptophyta; Magnoliopsida; Sapindales; Rutaceae. The record is from RNAcentral.